CCUACGGGGGGCAGCAGUGGGGAAUCUUGCGCAAUGGGCGAAAGCCUGACGCAGCAACGCCGCGUGCGGGAAGAAGGCUUUCGGGCUGUAAACCGCUUUCAGCAGGAACGAAAAUGACGGUACCUGCAGAAGAAGGAGCGGCCAACUAUGUGCCAGCAGCCGCGGUGAUACAUAGGCUUCAAGCGUUGUCCGGAUUUAUUGGGCGUAAAGAGUUCGUAGGCGGUCAAGUAAGUCGGGUGUGAAAAUUCUGGGCUCAACCCAGAGACGCCACCCGAUACUGCUUAACUUGAGUUCGAUAGGGGAGUGGGGAAUUCCUAGUGUAGCGGUGAAAUGCGCAGAUAUUAGGAGGAACACCGGUGGCGAAGGCGCCACUCUGGAUCGAUACUGACGCUGAGGAACGAAAGCAUGGGUAGCAAACAGGAUUAGAUACCCUGGUAGUCCAUGCCGUAAACGGUGGGCACUAGGUGUGGGUUUCUAUUAACGAAAUCCGCGCCGUCGCUAACGCAUUAAGUGCCCCGCCUGGGGAGUACGGUCGCAAGACUAAACUCAAGGAAUUGACGG
Molecule: ribosomal RNA, 561 nt
Filed under: uncultured bacterium
Lineage: Bacteria
Description: bacterial SSU rRNA
Rfam family: Bacterial small subunit ribosomal RNA
Source: RNAcentral